This 67-nucleotide transfer RNA is filed under the name Marmota monax (woodchuck). RNAcentral describes it as "tRNA.Ala". It matches the Rfam family "tRNA". Rfam says of the family: Transfer RNA (tRNA) molecules are approximately 80 nucleotides in length. Their secondary structure includes four short double-helical elements and three loops (D, anti-codon, and T loops). Lineage: Eukaryota; Metazoa; Chordata; Mammalia; Rodentia; Sciuridae. The record is from RNAcentral.
GGUUGUAGCUCAGCAGUAGAGCACUUGCCUAGCAUGUACAAGGCUCUGGGUUCAAUCCCCAGCACCA